This 468-nucleotide ribosomal RNA is filed under the name uncultured bacterium. RNAcentral's name for it is "partial 16S ribosomal RNA". It matches the Rfam family "Bacterial small subunit ribosomal RNA", at positions 28 to 507 of the family's 1533-position model. The record is from RNAcentral.
GACGAACGCUGGCGGCGUGCUUAACACAUGCAAGUCGAACGGAAAGGCCCUGCUUUUGUGGGGUGCUCGAGUGGCGAACGGGUGAGUAACACGUGAGUAACCUUCCCUUUACUUUGGGAUAACUUCAGGAAACUGGUGCUAAUACCUGAUAGGAGCUCCUGCUGCAUGGUGAGGGUUGGAAAGUUUCGGCGGAUGUGGAUGGACGCGCGGCUUAUCAGCUUGUUGGUGGGGUAGUGGCUUACCAAGGCAUUGACGGGUAGCCGGCAUGGGAGGGGGACCGGCCACAUGGGGACUGAGAGACGGCGCAGACUCCUAUGGGAGGCAGCAGGGGGGAAUAUUGCACAAUGGGCGGACGCCUGAUGCAGAAACGCCGCGUGCGGGAUGAACGCCUUCGGGUUGUAAACCGCUUUCGCCUGUGACGAAGCGUGAGUGACGGUAAUGGGUAAAGAAGCACCGGCUAACUACGUG